This 373-nucleotide ribosomal RNA is filed under the name uncultured organism. RNAcentral's name for it is "partial 16S ribosomal RNA". It matches the Rfam family "Bacterial small subunit ribosomal RNA", at positions 527 to 896 of the family's 1533-position model. The record is from RNAcentral.
GUAGGGUGCGAGCGUUAAUCGGAAUUACUGGGGCGUAAAGCGUGCGCAGGCGGCUUUGCAAGACAGAUGUGAAAUCCCCCGGGGCUCAACCUGGGGAACUGCAUUUGUGACUGCAAGGCUAGAGUACGGUAGAGGGGGAUGGAAUUCCGCGUGUAGCAGUGAAAUGCGUAGAUAUGCGGAGGAACACCAAUGGCGAAGGCAAUCCCCUGGACCUGUACUGACGCUCAUGCACGAAAGCGUGGGGAGCAAACAGGAUUAGAUACCCUGGUAGUCCACGCCCUAAACGAUGUCAACUGGUUGUUGGACGGCUUGCUGUUCAGUAACGAAGCUAACGCGUGAAGUUGACCGCCUGGGGAGUACGGCCGCAAGGUUG